GACGUAGGGCGCGAGCGUUGUCCGGAUUUAUUGGGCGUAAAGAGCUCGUAGGCGGCUUGUCGCGUCGUCCGUGAAAACUUGGGGCUUAACCCUGAGCUUGCGGUCGAUACGGGCAUCACUGGAGUUCGGCAGGGGAGACUGGAAUUCCUGGUGUAGCGGUGAAAUGCGCAGAUAUCAGGAGGAACACCGGUGGCGAAGGCGGGUCUCUGGGCCGAUACUGACGCUGAGGAGCGAAAGCGUGGGGAGCGAACAGG
RNAcentral lists this ribosomal RNA (254 nucleotides) under uncultured bacterium. RNAcentral's name for it is "partial 16S ribosomal RNA". It matches the Rfam family "Bacterial small subunit ribosomal RNA", at positions 524 to 776 of the family's 1533-position model. The record is from RNAcentral.